RNAcentral lists this long non-coding RNA (1596 nucleotides) under Fragaria vesca (wild strawberry). Its description in RNAcentral is "long non-coding RNA (FVES_LNC004248)". Lineage: Eukaryota; Viridiplantae; Streptophyta; Magnoliopsida; Rosales; Rosaceae. The record is from RNAcentral.
AGUUAAUGGAAUAGUUUGGUUCAAUAUUAAACCUAACUUUUUUCUAUCGAUAACGGAUAGAAACAUAGAAAACUCAGUAAAAAUAAAAAUUCAAUUAAAAAAUUUAAGUAUGGACCAUAACUCCCAAGAUUUAGCAAUCCAAUGGAGAACAAUACAUGAGUUAACUCGGCUCCCUCAAACAUCUACAAAGGAUCUAGAUAAAAAUAUAGUCGAAUUGUUCGAACCAAGACCAUUCGACACUGAAAUUCAACCAACAUUAUUACAUUGGAAGGAUCUAGAAAUACCAAAACAAUGGUUAUUUAACAACUUUGUAGGAGAAAGUUCUAGUAGCAAACCAGCUACUAUAGAAUUUCGAUCAUCGGGAAACAAUCUCUACUUCAGAGAUAAACGAGCUCAAAGUAGUAAAAAUUGGCAGCUAGAAUUCCCACAUCGGUUGAUGUCUGCAAGAAAAUAGACCUCCAUUAGUCAUAAACAAUGACUCAGAAUCAGAGAAAAACAACGACGAAGCAAUUGCACUAAAACAAGUGCAAAUUCCUAUAAUGCCAGGAACAAAUUAUGAAAAAGAAAAAGAAAAAGAAAGAAAUGAAAUAAAAUGAAAUUAUAAAAUUAUGUGAAAUGUAUAGUAUUCCUAAUGGGAAUGAAAAUAUCCUUUUUGCCCCAAGCCAGGGCAAAAAGAAAUAUACAUAUGUGUUAGGAGAAUUUAAGUUUACAGGCUAUAAACCAUAUAGCUUGUGUUCAUUAAUAGAUACAGGAGCAACUGUCUGUGCAUGCAGACUGGUAUCAAACACAAAAGGAAAGAGAGCAACUAACUAUUUUUAUUGAUGAUAGGGAAACUUCUUACAAGAGGAAUACAAACACAAAAGGAAAGAGAGUAAGGCUUAACAUCCGAUACUUUCUCUUCAGCAUACUAGCAUUUAUAUAUACAAGGAAAAAGUAACUCUAGUUACAAAAAUAACAUAACUAAGGUAAAUCACCAACUAUGGUUUAGUUAAAGGUGACACCUCAAUACUAUUUACAUAAUUCUAUCUACUUCUACCGCCUUCGAAGCGACUGUAGAUGUUUUAUCUGCCGUCGCGCCUGUCGGCAAAGUUAUGUGGGUCCAUUACGCUUCCAUAGCGUUGUCGAGAUUCUGAUAACCCGAAAGGCAUGACAUUUCAGUGGUAGUGUCCACAUGGAGUACUAAACGCAGUCAAUGGUUUUGACUCCUCUGUUAAUUUCCUCGAAAUAUUGUUCGGUGAAGAAAUCUCCGACAAUGAAGAAAUUUUAUAAAAUUAUGUGAAAUGUAUAGUAUUCCUAAUGGGAAUGAAAAUAUCCUUUUUGCCCCAAGCCAGGGCAAAAAGAAAUAUACAUAUGUGUUAGGAGAAUUUAAGUUUACAGGCUAAGCGUUUAUUUCAUUGUCAUCUUCAUUAGAUUCUAUAUUAAGAAAAAACAGUCUGAGAAAAAUCAGUCUGGUAAAACUAAAAAUGUUUGGACUAAAGAGAGAUUUUUAGAUUAUAUUGCAGCAACAUUGCAAGGAGACACUUUGCAAUGGUUAAAGCAAUGGGAAAAUUCACCAGAAGGGACAUUACAAAAAUUAUCUCUAUUAACAAAUUUUAA